Sphenodon punctatus (tuatara) is the source of this 72-nucleotide small nucleolar RNA. NCBI's taxonomy places the organism in Eukaryota, Metazoa, Chordata, Lepidosauria, Sphenodontia, Sphenodontidae. The record is from Ensembl.
UAAUGAUGAAGUAAACCAAAAUAAGCUGGAAUUACCGGCAGACUGUCGGUGGUGAGAAGGUUUUUUCUGAAU